AAUAUUGGACAAUGGGGGCAACCCUGACCCAGCCAUGCCGCGUGGGUGAAGAAGGACUUCGGUUUGUAAAGCACUUUAAGCUGGGAGGAAGGGCUUGAGGUUAAUACCCUGAAGGUUUUACGUUACCAACAGAAGAAGCACCGGCUAACUCUGUGCCAGCAGCCGCGGUAAUACAGAGGGUGCAAGCGUUAUUCGGAAUUACUGGGCGUAAAGCGCGCGUAGGUGGUUCAGUAAGAUGGAAGUGAAAUCCCCGGGCUUAACCUGGGAACUGCUUUCAUAACUGCUGAGCUAGAGUACGGUAGAGGGUAGUGGAAUUUCCUGUGUAGCGGUGAAAUGCGUAGAUAUAGGAAGGAACACCAGUGGCGAAGGCGACUACCUGGACUGAUACUGACACUGAGGUGCGAAAGCGUGGGGAGCAAACA
Molecule: ribosomal RNA, 422 nt
Filed under: uncultured bacterium
Lineage: Bacteria
Description: partial 16S ribosomal RNA
Rfam family: Bacterial small subunit ribosomal RNA
Source: RNAcentral